Molecule: ribosomal RNA, 468 nt
Filed under: uncultured bacterium
Lineage: Bacteria
Description: partial 16S ribosomal RNA
Rfam family: Bacterial small subunit ribosomal RNA
Source: RNAcentral
GACGAACGCUGGCGGCGUGCUUAACACAUGCAAGUCGAACGGAAAGGCCCUGCUUUUGUGGGGUGCUCGAGUGGCGAACGGGUGAGUAACACGUGAGUAACCUGCCCUUGACUUUGGGAUAACUUCAGGAAACUGGGGCUAAUACCGGAUAGGAGCUCCUGCUGCCUGGUGGGGGUUGGAAAGUUUCGGCGGUUGGGGAUGGACUCGCGGCUUAUCAGCUUGUUGGUGGGGUAGUGGCUUACCAAGGCUUUGACGGGUAGCCGGCCUGAGAGGGUGACCGGCCACAUUGGGACUGAGAGACGGCCCAGACUCCUACGGGAGGCAGCAGUGGGGAAUAUUGCACAAUGGGCGGAAGCCUGAUGCAGCAACGCCGCGUGCGGGAUGACGGCCUUCGGGUGGUAAACCGCUUUCGCCUGUGACGAAGCGUGAGUGACGGUAAUGGGUAAAGAAGCACCGGCUAACUACGUG